UGGGCCCCAGCUCCCACCAAAUAUCGGGACCCCAGCCCUGGAAACCAACCACCAAAUCGCUCUCCCUCCACCAAGAACAAGAUAAUUUAUCUCCCACUUUGAAUCCAUGGUCGCACCCCUCCUCCUUGUCUAGACUUUCAAGGGCUGGCCUUCACCACCCCCACCUUGUCCCCCCUCCAGCUCUCAGCCUUCAUCUUCCAAUUGUCACUUUCUCCUGUACAACUAAGAUCUGGAUUUGUGCUUACUUGAGCUGACAGGGUCAGGGAGUUGUGGGGGAGGUUUGGGAAGGGGGACCAGAACACCGUGAACCUCCAGUGACAAACUGUCCUCUUUCUAUCACUCCUUAUCAACUCCACUCCUCGCGCCGGACACACACAUCAGCUGACCGUGCUCUCAGGUUCCAAGGGAGAGCAACAAGAGAAAGAAAGAGAGAGGCAAGCGAAAUUCCUGAAUGGAUAGAGAGAUGCUACGUCACCGGAGCUGCAUCCUCUGCUCCACAAGAGGCUAGGAGCCGGGGAGAGAGGCAGUUCAGCGGCAGGGGCCACCCAAGCAGUUUCUCCUCCAUAAGCCAGGAGCUGAGCAUCCAAGAAGAAGCAGCCUCAUUUGUUUCUGGUGUCAUCGUAAUUGGCCACCUUUGGCUUUUGGGACUCUUCCUCUCUCCAACCAGGAAAUUCCAUGAUCUUGCUCAUUCUUGUCUUGGGAAGUCCUUUCCAAUGUCUAGUCCAGAUCUGCGCGGCUGAAGCACCAGUUCUUUUAACCUUGGUUUGACAUGGCUAAUCUGAGAGACCAAAAAGAAGAACCUGCUUCACCCAGUCGGCCUGGCUUCCCUCUGAGAAGCCUUCCUGGAUUGACUGAAAGAUGAGGCUAAACUCCAGCAAGUUGACCGGCUCCUCAAGAAGCGUUUGAGCAGGCUGGAAGCAGGGAGGCCCUGGCCACCAGCCUGGGCGGCCCCUUACACCAGGACCUAGAGCUUUGCUCCACCACGGCUCCCAUGUCCACGAGCUGUCCAUCCAGGCCCAGCCCAGUUUCUCCUGUGUCAGCUGAGCAGAAAUUCCUCGGAGAUGGACGUCCCGUCUCAUGUCUAAUAAAGACUUCUGAACAAUGA
Molecule: long non-coding RNA, 1105 nt
Organism: Manis pentadactyla (Chinese pangolin)
Lineage: Eukaryota; Metazoa; Chordata; Mammalia; Pholidota; Manidae
Exons: 5
Source: RefSeq, a predicted model, not a curated record